GGGUCUGUAGCUCAGCCUGUGAAGUUUUAUCUUCGGCUAUGGAGAGCGCACGACUGAAGAUCGUGAUGUCAUGGGUUCAAAUCCCAUCAGACCCA
This 95-nucleotide transfer RNA is filed under the name Nanobdellota archaeon. Its description in RNAcentral is "tRNA-Phe". It matches the Rfam family "tRNA". Rfam says of the family: Transfer RNA (tRNA) molecules are approximately 80 nucleotides in length. Their secondary structure includes four short double-helical elements and three loops (D, anti-codon, and T loops). Further hydrogen bonds mediate the characteristic L-shaped molecular structure. tRNAs have two regions of fundamental functional importance: the anti-codon, which is responsible for specific mRNA codon recognition, and the 3' end, to which the tRNAs corresponding amino acid is attached (by aminoacyl-tRNA synthetases). tRNAs cope with the degeneracy of the genetic code in two manners: having more than one tRNA (with a specific anti-codon) for a particular amino acid; and 'wobble' base-pairing, i.e. permitting non-standard base-pairing at the 3rd anti-codon position. Lineage: Archaea; Nanobdellati; Nanobdellota. The record is from RNAcentral.